Rana temporaria (common frog) is the source of this 3639-nucleotide RNA transcript. It is a transcript of the gene named formin like 3, with no coding region annotated. NCBI's taxonomy places the organism in Eukaryota, Metazoa, Chordata, Amphibia, Anura, Ranidae. The transcript is spliced from 28 exons. The record is from RefSeq and is a predicted model, not a curated record.
GAGUUUAGUGUGGACUGUGAGGCGGGACUCGCUAGUACAAAGGAUGGGAGUCGGGCGCUGUUUAUUGGAGUAACGGGGCGACUGCGGGAGGAGGGGGGGAUACCCGGUCUUUGGGGAGCCGUAUACCGGGGUCCCGAAAAUGGGGAACGCAGAAAGUGCGGGGGGACCCCCGGGGACAACUUUGUUACCGCUCAAAGUCCCGAUGCCGGAGCCGGGGGAGCUGGAGGAGAGAUUCGCUUUGGUCCUGAGUUCCAUGAAUCUUCCCCCAGACAAAGCACGACUCUUGCGACAGUACGAUAAUGAAAAAAAGUGGGACCUCAUCUGUGACCAGGAGCGCUUUCAAGUGAAAAACCCCCCGCACACGUACAUCCAAAAACUACAAUCAUUCCUGGACCCCGGAGUCACACGAAAGAAGUUUAGAAGACGGGUACAAGAAUCUACAAAGGUGCUGCGUGAACUGGAAAUAUCACUGCGAACAAAUCACAUAGGGUGGGUGCGUGAGUUCUUGAAUAAUGACAACAGGGGCCUGGAUGUUUUGGUGGAGUAUCUCUCAUUUGCACAGUGCGCGGUUAUGUUUGAUUUUGAGGGCCUGGAAAACGGGGAGGAUGGCUUGGUUGAAAAGUCCAAAUCCUGGAGCAGAUCCAUCGAGGAUCUGCAGAGUCCCAACGCCCUCCAUGCCCCUUUCGCCAACGGCCUCGCUCGCUCUGCCCGCCAGUCUGUGCUCCGCAGCUACAAUACAUUGCCAGGAAAAAAAGCGCUGAAAAACUCCAGAUUGGUGAGCCAGAAGGAUGAUGUACAUGUCUGCAUCAUGUGCCUCCGUGCCAUUAUGAAUUACCAGUAUGGCUUCAAUCUGGUCAUGUCCCACCCUCAUGCCGUCAAUGAAAUUGCUCUCAGCUUAAACAACAAGAAUCCAAGAACUAAAGCUUUGGUCCUGGAAUUACUGGCUGCGGUGUGUCUGGUCCGGGGAGGACAUGAAAUAAUUCUAUCUGCUUUUGACAACUUCAAAGAGGUCUGCAAGGAGAAGCAUCGUUUUGAGAAGCUCAUGGAAUAUUUUAGGAUUGAAGACAGCAACAUUGAUUUCAUGGUUGCCUGUAUGCAGUUCAUUAACAUUGUUGUCCAUUCUGUGGAAGACAUGAACUUCCGUGUUCACCUUCAGUUUGAGUUCACCAAGCUGGGCCUUGAAGAGUUCCUAGAGAAAUCUAAACACACGGAAAGUGAGAAACUGCAGGUGCAGAUUCAGGCCUACCUGGAUAACGUGUUUGAUGUAGGAGGUCUGCUGGAAGAUGCAGAGACGAAGAAUGUUGCACUUGAGAAAGUGGAGGAGUUGGAAGAACAUUUAUCCCAUAUGACGGAAAAGCUGCUAGAUUUGGAGAAUGAGAACGUGAUGCGAGUGGCCGAGCUGGAAAAAACGUUAUUACAGAGAGAGAAGGAGCUGGACAUGAUUAGGGAAACGUAUGAGACCACAAGUCAUCAGGUGAACACGCUAAGGAAAAUCAUCAAAGAAAAGGAAGAAGCAUUUCUGCAGCUCCGCCAGCUGGAGCACGCCAAUGCUCUACAGCAGCAGAAGUUUGGGUCUGCUGGGACCAUCCCCCCAUCAUUUGCUGGCCUACCUGGAGACAUUUCAUUGAUUGCAGACUUUCCACCUCCUCCACCCCCGCCCCCACCUGCACCAGCACCUCUACCUGCAGCACCACCUCCACCCCCUCCCCCACCUCCACCUCCACCACCUCCUCCAAUGCCAAGCAAGUGCCCUCCUCCACCUCCUCUUCCAUCUUCCUCACCUUCUGUUAUCCUCACAAUGGGUUUGUCAGCAAUCAGGAUCAAGAAGCCAAUAAAAACAAAGUUCCGCCUGCCUGUGUUUAACUGGACUGCUCUUAAACCCAACCAGAUAAGUGGCACUGUGUUCAGCGACCUGGAUGAUGAGAGGAUAUUACAGGAUCUGGAUAUGGAUAAAUUUGAAGAAAUGUUCAAAACCAAAGCACAGGGAGCUGCCAUUGAUGUUUCCUGCUCCAAGACUAAAUCUUCCCAGAAAUCAAUAAGUAAAGUGACCCUUUUGGAGGCAAACCGAGCCAAGAACCUGGCAAUCACUCUACGAAAGGCUGGGAGGGCCCCAGAGGAGAUCUGUAAAGCUAUCCACACGUUUGACUUGAGGACAUUGCCGGUAGAUUUUGUGGAGUGUCUGGUACGCUUCUUACCUACAGAAGCGGAAGUGAAGUUGCUAAGACAGUAUGAGCGGGAGCGGAAGCCUCUUGAGGACCUUUCUAAUGAGGACAGGUUCAUGAUGCACUUCAGUAAAGUGGAGCGUCUCUCUCAAAGGAUGUCCAUCAUGACAUUCAUGGGCAAUUUCAGUGAGAACCUGCAGCUGCUAACACCGCAACUGAACGCAGUGAUUGCAGCUUCUGCUUCAGUCAAAUCUUCUCCAAAGCUGAAACAAAUGCUGGAGGUAAUUCUUGCCUUGGGUAACUACAUGAACAGCAGCAAGAGGGGAUCGGUCUAUGGGUUCAAACUACAGAGCUUAGACUUGCUGCAAGACACAAAGUCAACCGACAGGAAGAUGACCUUGCUUAACUACAUUGCCUUGAUUGGCAAGGAGAAGUAUCCUGAGGUGGCCACAUUCUACAAUGAGCUUCAUUUUGUGGAGAAGGCAGCAGCAGUGUCUCUUGAAAACGUCCUUAUGGAUGUAAAGGAGCUUGGGAAAGGAAUGGACUUAAUUCGCAAGGAGAGCAGUCAUCAUGACAAUAGUGUCCUCAGGAACUUUGUGAGUGGAAAUGAAGGAAAACUGGACAAGAUUCAGAAGGAUGCCAAAACAGCAGAGGAAGCAUACGCAGCUGUGGUGCUUUACUUUGGAGAAAGUCCAAAGACAACGCCGCCCUCCGUGUUCUUUCCAGUAUUCGCUCGUUUCAUCAAAUCAUAUAAGGAAGCUGAACUUGAGAAUGAGAUGCGCAAGAAGCAGGAGGAGGUUAUGCGAGAGAAGUUAUUGGCACAAGAAGCAAAGAAGAUGGACCCUAAGUCUCCAGCGCCGAAAAAUAAACGUCAGCAACACGAUCUGAUAGCAGAGCUGCGGCGGCGGCAAGCCAAGGACCAUCGACCGGUCUAUGAAGGGAAGGAUGGAACCAUUGAGGACAUAAUAACAGUCCUGAAGAGUGUCCCCUUCACAGCCAGAACAGCCAAGAGAGGCUCUCGCUUCUUCUGUGAUACAUCCCUAUUUGAGGAUUCAAACUGUUAAGCCCAAUGCCUUUAAAAAAUUAGCUACCAGGAAGAUCCAUCUUUAGUUUCCUAUUUUCUUGCAGAGGAUCUCCGUAAUCAGCCCUUCAGACGUGCAGAUGCAGUUCUGCGGCAUGCCUGGAGGCGGAGCUAGCACAUCCAGUUCCAUGAGCCAGAUCAGGCCUUGCUGUGUAUGUUACUCCUUGGAGUAGAUGAACUUAAAACAUUCAGCAGAUGACUGUGCUCCACAUGUUAAGGGAAAUGAAGAAGCCGGGACACUUCACAAAAUAGAAGAAAAAGUGCCUUAUUGCUACAGUAUUAUAGAACUAUUUUUCUUUUACUAUUUAUAUUUUCUUAAGUUUUUACUGUUGAAAUUGUAAAUAUUUUUUUUUGUAAGGUUGCCCGACCAAUAUUGGCUGCUCUGGGCGAAAAAAG